UGGCCUUGACAUGCAUAGCAUUUUCCAGAGAUGGAUUGGUGCCUUCGGGAACUCUGACAC
This 60-nucleotide ribosomal RNA is filed under the name uncultured bacterium. Its description in RNAcentral is "partial 16S ribosomal RNA". The record is from RNAcentral.